CCUACGGGUGGCAGCAGUGAGGAAUAUUGGUCAAUGGAGGCAACUCUGAACCAGCCACGUCGCGUGAAUGAUGAAGGUCCUCUGAUUGUACAGUUCUUUUCUAAGGGAAGAAGAAAGUGACGGUACCUUAGGAAUAAGCCUCGGCUAACUACGUGCCAGCAGCCGCGGUAAUACGUAGGAGGCGGGCGUUAUCCGGAAUGAAUGGGCGUAAAGGGUGCGUAGGUGGUUUGACAAGUUGGUAGCGUAACUCCGAGGCUCAACCUCGGCACUAACACCAAAACUGUCGGACUUGAGUGCAGGAGGAGCAAGUGGAAUGCCUAGUGUAGCGGUGGAAUGCGCAGAUAUUAGGAGGAACACCGGUGGCGAAGGCGAAUUGCUGGACUGUAACUGACACUGAGGCACGAAAGCGUGGGGAGCAAACAGGAUUAGAUACCCCAGUAGUC
This 443-nucleotide ribosomal RNA is filed under the name uncultured bacterium. RNAcentral describes it as "partial 16S ribosomal RNA". It matches the Rfam family "Bacterial small subunit ribosomal RNA", at positions 338 to 795 of the family's 1533-position model. The record is from RNAcentral.